AUACGGAGGAUCCAAGCGUUAUCCGGAUUUAUUGGGUUUAAAGGGUGCGCAGGCGGAAGAUUAAGUCGGCGGUGAAAUUUUGCAGCUCAACUGUAAAAGUGCCAUUGAUACUGGUUUUCUUGAGUGUGGAUGAAGUAGGCGGAAUUUGAGGUGUAGCGGUGAAAUGCAUAGAUAUCACGAGGAACUCCGAUUGCGCAGGCAGCUUACUAGGCCAUAAAUGACGCUCAGGCACGAAGGCGUGGGGAUCAAACAGGAUUAGAUACCCUGGUAGUCCACGGAGUAAACGAUGAUUACUCGCUGUUUGCGAUUCACAGUAAGCGGCUUAGCGAAAGCGUUAAGUAAUCCACCUGGGGAGUACGUUCGCAAGAAUGAAACUCAAAUGAAUUGACGGGG
Molecule: ribosomal RNA, 393 nt
Filed under: uncultured bacterium
Lineage: Bacteria
Description: partial 16S ribosomal RNA
Rfam family: Bacterial small subunit ribosomal RNA
Source: RNAcentral